This 77-nucleotide transfer RNA is filed under the name Klebsiella pneumoniae. Its description in RNAcentral is "tRNA-Met". It matches the Rfam family "tRNA". From Rfam's summary of the family: Transfer RNA (tRNA) molecules are approximately 80 nucleotides in length. Their secondary structure includes four short double-helical elements and three loops (D, anti-codon, and T loops). Lineage: Bacteria; Pseudomonadati; Pseudomonadota; Gammaproteobacteria; Enterobacterales; Enterobacteriaceae. The record is from RNAcentral.
CGCGGGGUGGAGCAGCCUGGUAGCUCGUCGGGCUCAUAACCCGAAGGCCGUGGGUUCAAAUACGGCCCCCGCAACCA